RNAcentral lists this transfer RNA (69 nucleotides) under Bos taurus (domestic cattle). It matches the Rfam family "tRNA". From Rfam's summary of the family: Transfer RNA (tRNA) molecules are approximately 80 nucleotides in length. RNAcentral also lists the same sequence under 4 other names. Lineage: Eukaryota; Metazoa; Chordata; Mammalia; Artiodactyla; Bovidae. The record is from Rfam by way of RNAcentral.
CCUGGUAGCUUAGUUGGUAAAGAAUCUGCCUGCAAUGCAGGAGACCCUGGUUCAAUUCCUGGGUUAGGA